RNAcentral lists this transfer RNA (76 nucleotides) under Hyphomicrobium sp. RNAcentral describes it as "tRNA-Glu". It matches the Rfam family "tRNA". Rfam says of the family: Transfer RNA (tRNA) molecules are approximately 80 nucleotides in length. The record is from RNAcentral. Lineage: Bacteria; Pseudomonadati; Pseudomonadota; Alphaproteobacteria; Hyphomicrobiales; Hyphomicrobiaceae. RNAcentral also lists the same sequence under 8 other names.
GUCCCGUUCGUCUAGUGGCCUAGGACACCAGCCUCUCACGUUGGGAACAGGGGUUCGAGUCCCCUACGGGGCGCCA